UAAGUAGUCAAAUUUGUCAUCGUGCAAAAUUAACUGGUUGUUUAAUUCCCAGUUGUGUUCUACUCGUUUGUGCGCAUGCUUGCACAGCUUGGCUUGCCCAGCGUGACGCUGCGAAGGAGGCUCACAAUACGAUUGGCUUGCCUAGCGCCACAACGUACCACCGUUGACUCUCCCUACGGCACCUCACGCAAUGUAUGGAUGUGCUGUUACUCAUGAAUGUUUCAGUUUUCAAUCCGUUUGGAUCCA
RNAcentral lists this long non-coding RNA (246 nucleotides) under Setaria italica (foxtail millet). Its description in RNAcentral is "long non-coding RNA (SITA_LNC001719)". The record is from RNAcentral. Lineage: Eukaryota; Viridiplantae; Streptophyta; Magnoliopsida; Poales; Poaceae.